Molecule: ribosomal RNA, 312 nt
Filed under: uncultured eukaryote
Lineage: Eukaryota
Description: partial large subunit ribosomal RNA
Rfam family: Eukaryotic large subunit ribosomal RNA
Source: RNAcentral
GUAUCAAUAAGCGGAGGAAAAGAAACCAACAGGGAUUCCCUUAGUAACGGCGAGUGAAGCGGGAAAAGCUCAAAUUUGAAAUCUCUCGGGUUUCCCGAGCGAAUUGUAGUUUAUAGAAGCACUUUCGGUUGAAGCCUUGGUUCAAGUCCCUUGGAAUAGGGCGCCGCAGAGGGUGAGAGCCCCGUAAAGCCUUGGAAAGUAAGCCAUGUGAGGUGUUUUCGAAGAGUCGGGUUGUUUGGGAAUGCAGCCCUAAAUGGGAGGUAAAUUCCUCCUAAAGCUAAAUAUAGGCAAGAGACCGAUAGCGCACAAGUA